GUCUACGGCCAUGCCACCCUGAACAAGCCCAGUGUCUGAUCUCGGAAGCUAAGCAAGGUCGGGCCUGGUUAGGACUUAGAUGGGAGACUAAGGUGCUGUAGGCA
RNAcentral lists this ribosomal RNA (104 nucleotides) under Pteropus alecto (black flying fox). The record is from RNAcentral. Lineage: Eukaryota; Metazoa; Chordata; Mammalia; Chiroptera; Pteropodidae.